This 349-nucleotide ribosomal RNA is filed under the name uncultured eukaryote. RNAcentral describes it as "partial 18S ribosomal RNA". It matches the Rfam family "Eukaryotic small subunit ribosomal RNA", at positions 592 to 976 of the family's 1831-position model. The record is from RNAcentral.
CACUAGCGAAUUUCUAAGUUGUUGCAGUUGAAAAGCUCGUAGUUGGUAGUGUUGCGGAUAACGUACGAGGGCCUUUGGUUCCGAGUCGACAAUCUGCAUUCUUGGGUGCCUCGUUGUACCCUCAAUAACUGUGAUUUAAGAGGAGCGUUUCAAGCGGGCGUUGGCUCUUACUUCUAAGCAUGGUAUUAUAUCAUAUGAUCGAGUGUGAUUUCUUAAAAUCGGUAUUCACGCCUGAUAAUGAGCAACAGGGCCGGUUGGGGGCAUUCGUACUUGCGCAUCAGAGGUGAAAUUCUAUAACUGCGCAAUGACGGUCCGCUGCGAAAGCGUCUGCCAAGGACGGUUNUAUUAA